Molecule: transfer RNA, 72 nt
Filed under: Minisyncoccota bacterium
Lineage: Bacteria; Bacillati; Minisyncoccota
Description: tRNA-Arg
Rfam family: tRNA
About the family: Transfer RNA (tRNA) molecules are approximately 80 nucleotides in length. Their secondary structure includes four short double-helical elements and three loops (D, anti-codon, and T loops).
Source: RNAcentral
GCACCCGUGGUGAAAUGGAUAUCACACAGCGCUUCGGACGCUGCAUUGGGGGUUCGAAUCCCUCCGGGUGCA